RNAcentral lists this ribosomal RNA (449 nucleotides) under uncultured bacterium. Its description in RNAcentral is "partial 16S ribosomal RNA". It matches the Rfam family "Bacterial small subunit ribosomal RNA", at positions 29 to 523 of the family's 1533-position model. The record is from RNAcentral.
AACGAACGCUGGCGGCAGGCUUAACACAUGCAAGUCGAACGAGAUCUUCGGAUCUAGUGGCAGACGGGUGAGGAACACGUGGGAACAUCCCUUUCAGUUCGGAAUAACGUUGGGAAACUAACGCUAAUACCGGAUACGUCCUUCGGGAGAAAGAUUUAUCGCUGAAAGAUUGGCCCGCGUCUGAUUAGCUAGUUGGUGAGGUAAUGGCUCACCAAGGCUACGAUCAGUAGCUGAUCUGAGAGGAUGAUCAGCCACAUUGGGACUGGGACACGGCGCAAACUCCUAGGGGAGGCAGCAGUGGGGAAUAUUGGACAAUGGGCGAAAGCCUGAUCCGGCCAUGCCGCGUGAGUGAUGAAGGCCUUCGGGUUGUAAAGCUCUUUUAUCCGGGAAGAUAAUGACUGUACCGGAAGAAUAAGCCCCGGCAAACUGCGUGCCAGCCGCCGCGGUAG